RNAcentral lists this ribosomal RNA (19 nucleotides) under Verticillium dahliae. RNAcentral's name for it is "partial 28S ribosomal RNA". Lineage: Eukaryota; Fungi; Ascomycota; Sordariomycetes; Glomerellales; Plectosphaerellaceae. The record is from RNAcentral.
CCCUACUUCGCCUCGAUUU